This 439-nucleotide ribosomal RNA is filed under the name uncultured bacterium. Its description in RNAcentral is "partial 16S ribosomal RNA". It matches the Rfam family "Bacterial small subunit ribosomal RNA", at positions 339 to 795 of the family's 1533-position model. The record is from RNAcentral.
CUACGGGAGGCAGCAGUGGGGAAUAUUGCCCAAUGGAGGAAACUCUGAUGCAGCAACGCCGCGUGGAGGAUGACACUUUUCGGAGCGUAAACUCCUUUUAUAUAGGAAGAUAAUGACGGUACUAUAUGAAUAAGCACCGGCUAACUCCGUGCCAGCAGCCGCGGUAAUACGGAGGGUGCAAGCGUUACUCGGAAUCACUGGGCGUAAAGAGCGUGUAGGCGGAUUAAUAAGUCAGAUGUGAAAGCCAAUGGCUCAACCAUUGAACUGCAUUUGAAACUGUUAAUCUAGAAUAUGGGAGAGGUAGAUGGAAUUUCUGGUGUAGGGGUAAAAUCCGUAGAGAUCAGAAGGAAUACCGAUUGCGAAGGCGAUCUACUGGAACAUUAUUGACGCUGAGACGCGAAAGCGUGGGGAGCAAACAGGAUUAGAUACCCCCGUAGUC